This 534-nucleotide ribosomal RNA is filed under the name Triticum aestivum (bread wheat). RNAcentral's name for it is "partial small subunit ribosomal RNA". Lineage: Eukaryota; Viridiplantae; Streptophyta; Magnoliopsida; Poales; Poaceae. The record is from RNAcentral.
AUGGAUGAGGUCACAAGGGGUAUACAAGGAGAUAUCCCAUGGUGUAUGCUCUUUGCGGAUGAUGUGGUGCUAGUUGACGAUAGUCGGACGGGGGUAAAUAGGAAGUUAGAGUUAUGGAGAAAAACCUUGGAAUCGAAAGGGUUUAGGCUUAGUAGAACUAAAACCGAGUACAUGAUGUGCGGUUUCAGUACUACUAGCUGUGAGGAGGAGGAGGUUAGCCUUGAUGGCCAGGUGGUACCUCGGAAGGACACCUUUCGGUAUUUGGGGUCAAUGUUGCAGGAGGAUGGGGGUAUUGAUGAAGAUGUGAACCAUCGAAUCAAAGCCGGAUGGAUGAAGUGGCGCCAAGCUUCUGGCAUUCUCUGUGACAAGAGAGUGCCACAAAAGCUAAAAGGCAAGUUCUACAGGACGGCGGUUCGACCCGCAAUGUUGUAUGGCGUGGAGUGUUGGCCGACUAAAAGGCGACAUGUUCAACAGUUAGGUGUGGCGGAGAUGCGUAUGUUGAGAUGGAUGUGUGGCCACACGAGGAAGGAUUGA